Ictidomys tridecemlineatus (thirteen-lined ground squirrel) is the source of this 982-nucleotide non-coding RNA. The record is from RefSeq and is a predicted model, not a curated record. Lineage: Eukaryota; Metazoa; Chordata; Mammalia; Rodentia; Sciuridae.
GCUAGGCACCAUAAGGCCCUGCUGUUCGUGGCUUUGACCCUUGGACAGUGCCGCAGGAGGCAAUGUGGACACCAAAUCCUGCUGGAGGCCCAGCCCUGAGGGUAGGCGGUUGAGCCCCAGAUGUCCCCGGCCUGCUUCCAGAACAAGGGCCGGCCCGCGGAGCUCGUUUGGCACACACUGAAAACCACGAGCAAAUUGCCAGUGGGAGUGCCGUGUGCCACGUUGAUGUGCGGCAUGAUGAAAUCAAGCUGAUUAACACAGGCUUAAGUUUUAAAGAGAGUUUGCUGUUGAUAUCGAGAAACACAACGGAAGUUCCCACAGUGACUUGCUAUCCUGGACUUGACUGAAUUUAUCAGUCCUGAAUGCUUUUGGUGGAGUCCUCGGGGUUUUCUGUCAUAAGAUCACGCCAUCAGCAAACAGGGAGAGUCCUGCUUCUUCUCCUUUCCUGUUUGGGUGCCUUUUGAUUCCCCUUCCUUUUUCUUGCUGAGUUUCCCUGGCUGGGACUUCAGCACCAUGCUGAACGCACCACACGCGGCCCCAUUUAUGACUCAGCAGCUUAACGGGGUCUUCCGGGGCCUGGCGCGUGAGGGAUCCCCAGGCGAUGCCUCCUGCCCGGGCUUGGUCCUGGGGUCUCCAUCAAGAGCCGAGCUCCUGGCUAGCCCUGGCAUCUCUUGGAAUCUGUUUCUCUGGUCAGCCAGGGAAACCUGAGCUGCUAAGACUCUGAGACUUCAGUGGGCAGAGUGCAGAACAGAGGUGCUGCCCAGGAGGCUGACCCCAUCACUGGGGCCAACUUCUGCCAUGCUGCCCACCUGAGAUCCUCCCAGGCCAGUCUCCCUGCUGGCCAGCUCUCUCCUGGGGACAGUGGUCUCUGGGGAUCCCUGCUUCCAGCUACACUUUACUGUUCUGCCCUGGCUGACUUGUGUCCACUUGCUGAUUCCCCAGCAAGCCUGCCCUGGUCACAUUUCAGGGCCACUAAGUUUCU